GAUAAAAAGACUGCAUGAGACCCCUGGUGUGGUCAGUCAGCCCAGGAAACAUCUUUGAAAAAGAUGCCCCACCUCCCUACAGUGGUCUGUUGGUUGUUCUCCAAAUCAUUUACAGGCAGCAGAGUUCUGUGAAGUCACAGUGGACUUAAGCUUGGAGGAAGCAUGGUUGAAAGUCACAAUAGAGGAAAAUGAGAGAAUCUGAUUAGUCAAAUGUGCCUUUGGAAGAUAAAUGACGGUCAUUGAUCGUGUUAGGAGAUUCGAUUUCCGAGUGAUCCCCAAUGCUCAGAAGUGCGGCACAGAACGAACUCCAUUCCACAUCACAUCGCAGGCCAGCGGCUGAUCAGCUUUCAAACAAAAACAAACAAGGCUAAUCAGAAUAACUGCUGAAAAGGUCUGCCUACCAACACCCUAAGAAGGAUCCUGCAAAGAUAGUUUCACCAUUCCCCAGCAACCAUAUCAGGAAAAUUUCAAGAGUGAACUGGAGGAAGCCAGUUAACCAACCAUCUAAGUUGUUCAGGUGAUAAGUAAUGGUAUCUCGGACCAGGAUGGGAUGACAUAGAUGGAGACAAGUGGACAGAUUCAACAUAUUUGAGAGGCAGAAAAUCUGGGUUUGGUCAUCACUUGGUGGAAAGGCAAGUAAAGCUGAUGAUUUCCGGUUUUCUCACUUGCUUAACUG
This 676-nucleotide long non-coding RNA is filed under the name Equus caballus (horse). RNAcentral's name for it is "lncRNA (ENSECAG00000043344.2)". Lineage: Eukaryota; Metazoa; Chordata; Mammalia; Perissodactyla; Equidae. The record is from RNAcentral.